Molecule: long non-coding RNA, 1676 nt
Organism: Pteropus alecto (black flying fox)
Lineage: Eukaryota; Metazoa; Chordata; Mammalia; Chiroptera; Pteropodidae
Exons: 2
Source: RefSeq, a predicted model, not a curated record
UAUAUGACCUUGGACAAGUUACUUAACUAACCUCUUUGAACCUCAAUUUCCCCAUCUGUUAGGAAUAACAGCCCCUACCCUUAGAGGACUGUGGUGAGAAUUUAAAAGUACUCAGAAAGUGCCUAGCAUACAGUAAGCCCUCCUUAAAUGUUACUUGUUAUUUUCAAAGAAUGGGGAACCACAAACAUGAGAGGGUUUUCCUUUAAUUAUUCAUUUUUGUAUGGCUUUCACAUAGUAGGCACUUAAAGCUGGUUGAUUGUUGGAGGCUUUGCUGCCUUUCGGAGGGAUCAUUCUCGUCCAUAACGUUACUCUGUGAGCCGGAUGGGGGCGGAUGCUGGGUGUUCGCACCCGAGUUCCACGCGGUCCUAAAAAGGAUUCACAGCGGCCAGGGGAAGGCACAGCGAACGCUCUGUCGUCGCUACGGAAACCUCAAUCCCAGUCCUGGACUCCAGUUAGGAAAGGGCGGGGGUCUCAAAAGCCUGGUCUUCCCGAGGGCGGCUAGUCGCGUGGUCGCAAGGGCCGGGUCCCCAUGAGCCCUGAGGAGCUCCGGAUUUCAGACAGGCACUGCUCCCUCCGGCCACACGGUGGCGACGUUGAGCCAAGUUCUGCACCCUACCUGGGAAGUGCUGGGGAGGCAGCGCCCCGUCCGUUAGUCCUCCAGGGCCCUACUCUCCACUGGUGAUAGGACAAGUCACCGACUUACAGGCGGAGAAAGCUGCUGGACCUGAGUUCACCGCAAUACCUCCCACUGGGCCUUGAAAUCCCAAUUCUAGGUCGGACGUUCCCAGCUCACAUGACGCCCUCCACCCCGAAAACGCUCUUGGGGCAGCCCCGCCUCGCUGCCAGCCCCGCGCAGCGCACCUGGCGGGCACCCGGCCAGAUCCUGCUCAGACUCGGCCUCCGAGCCCGCUGCGCCAAGACCGAGCGUCACUUCUCACUCCAAAAUACACUGGCCCGGAGGAAAGAAGGUGGACGUGGGUUCUGCGGCCCUUACUGCCCUGACCUCGGAUCCUCUCCAUCCUCUGCUUCCGCCCGGGCCUGCAUCGCCUUCAAGCUUCUCUCAGCGCCGCCACCCACCUCCCCAACCCUCCGAAUAUAUGUCCCGGGAUCUGAAUAGGGCGGGCUCCACCCUGAGAACACUGCAAGGCCCUGUUGUCCUUCCAGAGCCCUCCCUCUUCAGUUUCAAGAUUGGGGGGAAGGGAAGUCUCCGGGGCCACAAGCCACAUCGAGAAAAAUCUCCAGGUUCCAGGACUUUCUCUUUCCCCUGCUCUCUUCGUGGCUCCAGCAAAUCUAACUCUCCUUAGCGGAGGUAUUAGGUUCCCACAGGAAGGAAGCAGGGAGCAACCUCAACUAGCUCCCUUCUGUUGCAGUCUUUGCAAAAGAGGACAUGUGCGGGGUGGGGGGUGUCUUUUGACGGCUGAAGACGGAGAGCAGCUAACCCCUCCCAACCGAGUAGCUGGCUGGAACUCAAACUGCACAGCGAUAGGACUGAAGUGAGGACAGUCGAAGUCUUUCGCUUUCUGCCAUGCUCUGUUCUGCUGUCGGGCCUGGAAACACACCGGGAACCCUACCUACCUGUUUUCCCCCUUAAAAUUUCUCCUCUUAUGUAAAAGUAAUUCAUGUGUCGUAUUUAAAAAAUUAAACCUUACAAAAAUAUAGAUUUAAAAAAUGAAAAA